RNAcentral lists this ribosomal RNA (379 nucleotides) under uncultured eukaryote. Its description in RNAcentral is "partial 18S ribosomal RNA". It matches the Rfam family "Eukaryotic small subunit ribosomal RNA", at positions 592 to 975 of the family's 1831-position model. The record is from RNAcentral.
CAAUAGCGUAUAUUAAAGUUGUUGCGGUUAAAAAGCUCGUAGUUGGAUUUCUGCUGAGAACGACCGGUCCGCCCUCUGGGUGUGUAUCUGGCUCUUUCUUGGCAUCUUCUUGGUGAACGUUGCUGCACUUGACUGUGUGGAGCGCUACCCAGGACUUUUACUUUGAGGAAAUUAGAGUGUUUCAAGCAGGCAUACGCCUUGAAUACAUUAGCAUGGAAUAAUAAGAUAGGACCUCGGUUCUAUUUUGUUGGUUUCUAGAGCUGAGGUAAUGAUUAAUAGGGAUAGUUGGGGGUAUUCAUAUUUGGCAGUCAGAGGUGAAAUUCUUAGAUUUGCUGAAGAUGAACAACUGCGAAAGCAUUUACCAAGGAUGUUUNCAUUA